CCUACGGGAGGCAGCAGUGGGGGAUAUUGCACAAUGGGGGAAACCCUGAUGCAGCGACGCCGCGUGAGUGAAGAAGUAUCUCGGUAUGUAAAGCUCUAUCAGUAGGGAAGUAAAUGACAGUACCUGACCAAGAAGCCCCGGCUAACUAGGUGCCAGCAGCCGCGGGAAUACGUAGGGGGCAAGCGUUAUCCGGAUUUACUGGGUGUAAAGGGAGCGUAGACGGUUAUGUAAGUCAGGAGUGAAAGUCCGGUGCCCAACCCCGGGACUGCUUUGGAAACUGUGUAGCUGGAGUGCAGGAGGGGCAGGCGGAAUGCCUGGUGUAGCGGUGAAAUGCGUAGAGAUCAGGAAGAACACCGACGGCGAAGGCAGCCUGCUAAACUGAAACUGACGUUGAGGCUCGAAAGCGUGGGGAGCAAACAGGAUUAGAUACCCCUGUAGUC
This 440-nucleotide ribosomal RNA is filed under the name uncultured bacterium. Its description in RNAcentral is "partial 16S ribosomal RNA". It matches the Rfam family "Bacterial small subunit ribosomal RNA", at positions 338 to 795 of the family's 1533-position model. The record is from RNAcentral.